UUCAGAACGGGUGAAAUCCAGCAUGUGGUCUAAAGAUAUCUGUCGCCAUCCAUACUGAAGCUCUGUCCAGGCAAUGCGCUUCAGAGCUGGGCUCGCCUGCCUGCACACAAACUUCUGCAGCCGCAUGGGAACAUAUCAGCCCUUUGGCAUCUUCUGCAGCUUCACAGAUUAAAUUGAGAAAUCUUGCCCUCUUGGUCAAAGGUAAGAUUUACACAGAUACUGUAAGAGUUUUGAUUGUGUUCUGACCUACAUUUCCGUUCUGAAUUCUAAG
Long non-coding RNA from Oryzias melastigma (Indian medaka), 271 nucleotides. RefSeq lists it as uncharacterized. The transcript has 3 exons. Lineage: Eukaryota; Metazoa; Chordata; Actinopteri; Beloniformes; Adrianichthyidae. The record is from RefSeq and is a predicted model, not a curated record.